CACUGGGGGACGGUAAUCCUAUGAUGAACCGUCAGGGGUUUUCAAAGUAAAAAUAGACAACACAAGUCCAUUGAGAAGUACAUGUUUUCCUUUUUGCCCUUUACCAUCUGUUUGCAGGUAUGUGCCCACCCUGUGUGGACAUGACCAGCUUGCUGUCAUGUGAUCCACAACCAGGUUCAAAAGCUUAUGGUCCAUUGAAAAGGACACAGUACAGAAUUCCCUACUGACCAGAGAUAGAAGCUCACAUCACUGGAUCUGGGUAAGGCUACUGGCUUUUAAAAAGUCUAUGUUAUAGAUCAGUUUUUUUAGGGCACUUUACUUUUUGUUUUUGUGUUGUAAUGCAAGUGGAAUCAUUGCUUUAUCUCUGCGAGAUAAUGCACAUACACUUUUUCAUAGGUACAGGCUGUGGUGCAUCUUUACCAUGUCAGACACAGAAGAAACUACACAUGAAUUCUGCAGAGGAAAAUGGAAACGAAGGAGAAGAGGCUAAACCCAAGCUAAAACCUGGUUUUGUGCCGGGCCUGGCACCUCCCAAAAUCCCAGAUGGAGAAAUAGUAGACUUUGAUGACAUUCACAGGAAACGAAUGGAGAAAGAUCUGAUAGAACUUCAGUCGCUGAUUGAAUCACACUUUGAGAAACGCAAGAAGGAGGAAGAGGAGCUCAUCAGUCUCACAGACCGUAUUGAGAAACGCAGGUCAGAAAGAGCUGAGCAGAUGAAGAUCAGGGCAGAGAGGGAAAGGGAACGGCACAACAAACAAGCUGUGAGUGAAGAGAAGGCCAGAAAAGAGGAAGAAGAAGCUAAAAAGAAGGCAAAUGAUGAUGCAAGAAAGAAGAUGAUUCUAUCCAACUUAACUUUUACUGGAUACAAGACACAGGGUGAGACAAAGAAACCAACAGAAAGAGAAAAGAAGAAGAAGAUCCUAAAUGAUCGGCGCAAGGAGCUCAACGUUGAACACAUGAAAGAAGACCAACUCAGAGAAAAAGCAAAGGAGCUUUGGGACUGGAUUCGACAGCUGGAGGCAGAGAAAUAUGAACUUCAAUCUAAACAGACAAAGCAAAAGUACGAGGUAAAAUCCACUGAAAAAUCAGUUUAG
RNAcentral lists this long non-coding RNA (1094 nucleotides) under Oryzias sinensis (Chinese medaka). Its description in RNAcentral is "lncRNA (ENSOSIG00000020195.1)". The record is from RNAcentral. Lineage: Eukaryota; Metazoa; Chordata; Actinopteri; Beloniformes; Adrianichthyidae.